RNAcentral lists this ribosomal RNA (253 nucleotides) under uncultured bacterium. Its description in RNAcentral is "partial 16S ribosomal RNA". It matches the Rfam family "Bacterial small subunit ribosomal RNA", at positions 524 to 776 of the family's 1533-position model. The record is from RNAcentral.
UACGGGGGGGGCAAGCGUUGUUCGGAAUUACUGGGCGUAAAGGGCUCGUAGGCGGCCAACUAAGUCAGACGUGAAAUCCCUCGGCUUAACCGGGGAACUGCGUCUGAUACUGGAUGGCUUGAGUUUGGGAGAGGGAUGCGGAAUUCCAGGUGUAGCGGUGGAAUGCGCAGAUAUCAGGAGGAACACCGAUGGCGAAGGCAGAUCUCUGGGCCGUAACUGACGCUGAGGAGCGAAAGCAUGGGGAGCGAACAGG